CGGGGUGUGGCGAAGUUUGGUAUCGCGCAUGGUUCGGGUCCAUGAGGCCUCGGGUUCGAAUCCCGACACUCCGACCA
Molecule: transfer RNA, 77 nt
Filed under: Bacillota bacterium
Lineage: Bacteria; Bacillati; Bacillota
Also listed under: 5 other names
Description: tRNA-Pro
Rfam family: tRNA
About the family: Transfer RNA (tRNA) molecules are approximately 80 nucleotides in length. Their secondary structure includes four short double-helical elements and three loops (D, anti-codon, and T loops).
Source: RNAcentral